This 1525-nucleotide ribosomal RNA is filed under the name Dehalococcoidia bacterium. RNAcentral describes it as "bacterial SSU rRNA". It matches the Rfam family "Bacterial small subunit ribosomal RNA". The record is from RNAcentral. Lineage: Bacteria; Bacillati; Chloroflexota; Dehalococcoidia.
ACUGGAGAGUUUGAUCCUGGCUCAGGGUGAACGCUGGCGGCGUGCCUAACACAUGCAAGUCGAGCGGGCCGGGGCUUCGGCCCCGGCUAGCGGCGAACGGCUGAGUAACACGUGGGUAACCUGCCCCCAAGUGGGGGAUAACCCUGGGAAACCGGGGCUAAUACCGCAUGUGGUUGCCGGGCGGAUGCUCGGCAACUAAAGGGCCCGCAAGGGCUCGCUUGGGGAGGGGCCCGCGGCCUAUCAGGUAGUUGGUGGGGUAAUGGCCCACCAAGCCGAUGACGGGUAGCUGGCCUGAGAGGGUGGUCAGCCAGACCGGGACUGAGACACGGCCCGGACUCCUACGGGAGGCAGCAGUGGGGGAUCUUGGGCAAUGGGCGAAAGCCUGACCCAGCGACGCCGCGUGGAGGAAGAAGCCCUUCGGGGUGUAAACUCCUUUUGCCGGGGAAGAAACCUGACGGUACCCGGCGAAUAAGGGCCUGCUAACUACGUGCCAGCAGCCGCGGUAAUACGUAGGGCCCGAGCGUUACCCGGAUUUACUGGGCGUAAAGGGUCCGCAGGCGGCCCGGCAAGUCGGGCGUGAAAUUCCUCGGCUUAACCGAGGAGCUGCGUCCGAUACUACCGGGCUCGAGGACGGGAGAGGGAGGUGGAAUUCCCGGAGUAGCGGUGAAAUGCGUAGAUACCGGGAGGAACACCGGUGGCGAAGGCGGCCUCCUGGCCCGUUCCUGACGCUCAGGGACGAAAGCGUGGGGAGCGAACCGGAUUAGAUACCCGGGUAGUCCACGCCCUAAACGGUGGGUGCUAGGUGUGGGCAGGUAUCGACCCCUGUCCGCGCCGAAGGUAACCCGUUAAGCACCCCGCCUGGGGACUACGGCCGCAAGGCUAAAACUCAAAGGAAUUGACGGGGGCCCGCACAAGCGGCGGAGCGUGUGGUUUAAUUCGAUGCUACGCGAAGAACCUUACCAGGGCUUGACAUGCCGGAAGUAGGACCCCGAAAGGGGAACGACCCGUAAAGGCGGGAGCCGGCACAGGUGCUGCAUGGCUGUCGUCAGCUCGUGCCGUGAGGUGUUGGGUUAAGUCCCAGAACGAGCGCAACCCCCGCCCCUAGUUGCACUCUCUAGGGGGACUGCCGCCGAAAGGCGGAGGAAGGUGGGGAUGACGUCAAGUCAUCAUGGCCCUUAUGCCCUGGGCUACACACACGCUACAAUGGGCCGGUACAAUGGGCAGCGAAGCCGCGAGGCGGAGCGAAUCCCAUCAAAACGGCCCUCAGUUGGGAUUGCAGGCUGCAACUCGCCUGCAUGAACGCGGAGUCGCUAGUAACCGCAGGUCAGCACCACUGCGGUGAAUACGUUCUCGGGCCUUGUACACACCGCCCGUCACGUCCCGAAAGUCGGCAACACCCGAAGGCGGUGGCCUAACCCGCUUCGGCGGGAGGGAGCCGACGAGGGUGGGGCCGGCGAUUGGGACGAAGUCGUAACAAGGUAGCCGUACGGGAACGUGCGGCUGGAUCACCUCCUUUCUAGGGAGU